This is a long non-coding RNA of Oncorhynchus tshawytscha (Chinook salmon), 6066 nucleotides long. The record is from Ensembl. NCBI's taxonomy places the organism in Eukaryota, Metazoa, Chordata, Actinopteri, Salmoniformes, Salmonidae.
CUAGGCCAGUGACACACAAUCUCAAAUGAAUCAAUCUCAAAUGAAUCAAUCUCAAAUGAAUCAAUCUUAUACUCAGUCUGUUACAACAACAACAUUUGGAAAAGUCAAGGGGUGUGAAUACUUUCUGAAGGCACUGGACAUAAAAACACAUGCACAAGGUUUUGCAAGAGUAGUGAAGCAUACACAACUCACCACAGGUUAAGGAGAAGGGUGUGCUUGAAAGGAUGCACAUAACUCUGUAAUGUUGGGUUGUAUUGGAGAGAGUCUCACUUUUAAGGAAGACAUCCUAUUUGUAAAGUCCUGGACAGCUUUGUGACAUCAAAUGGACUUUGGUGGUCAAGAUGUGUUGGUAUCUGCACUGAUGGUGCAAAAGCCAUGUCAAGGAGACAUAGUGGAGUGGUAACGCGCGUGCAAGCAGAUGAUCCCGAUGCCACUUGGGGACACUGCAGCAUCUACCGAGAGGCUCUUGCUGCCAAGGGAAUGCCUGACAGCUUGAAAGACAUUUUGGACACUACAGUAAAAAUGGUUAACUUUGUUAAAGCAAGGCCCCUGAACUCUCAUGUAUUUUCUGCAUUAUGCAAUGAUAUGGGCAGUGACCAUGUAACGCUUUUACAACAUGCAGAAGUAUGCUGGUUAUCAAGGGGCAAAGUAUUGACACUUUUUUAUUGAAAGACGAGCUUGAAGUUUUCUUUACUGACCAUUAUUUUCACUUGUUUGACCGCUUCGCUUGCAUGAUGACGAGUUUAUCACAUGACUGGCCUGUCUGGGGGAUGUUUUUCCUAGCCUGAAUGAUCUGAAUCUAGGCUUACAGGGACUCUCCGCAACUAUAUUCAAUGUGCGGGACAAAAUUGAGGCUAUGAUUAAGAAGUUGGAGCUCUUCUCUGUCUGCAGUAAAUUUGCAAAUAAAUUCAUUAAAAAUCCUACAAUGUGAUUUUCUGGAAUUAUUUUUCUCAUUUUGUCUGUCAUAGUUGAAGUGUACCUACGAUGAAAAUUACAGGCCUCUCUCAUCUUUUUAAGUGGGAGAACUUUCACAAUUGGUGGCUGACUAAAUACUUUUUUGCCCCACUGUAUGCUUGGGGUCAUUGUCCAUUUGGAAGACCCAGUUGCGACCAAGCUUUAACUUCCUGACUGAUGUCUUGAGAUGUUGCUUCAAUAUAUCCACAUAAUUUUCCAUCCUCAUGAAGCCAUCUAUUUUGUGAAGUACACCAGUCCCUCCUGCAGCAAAGCACACCCACAACAUGAUGCUGCCACCCCCGUGCUUCACGGUUGGGACAGUGUUCUUCGACUUGCAAGCAUCCCUCUUUUUCCUCCAAACAUGAAUAUGGUCAUUAUGGUCAAACAGUUCUAUUUUUGUUUCGUCAGACCAGAGGAGAUUUCUCCAAAAAGUACGAUCUGUGUCCCCAUGUGCAGUUGCAAACCAUAGUCUGGCUUUUUAAUGGCGGUUUUGGAACAGUGGCUUCUUCCUUGCUGAGCGGUCUUUCAGGUUAUGUCAAUAUAGGACUCGUUUUACUAUGGAUAUAGAUACUUUGUACCUGUUUCCUCCAGCAUCUUCUCAAGGUCCUUUGCUGUUGUUCUGGGAUUGAUUUGCACUUUUCGCUCAGGUCCUGAGCUACAGGCAGUUAGAUUUGGGUAUAUCAUUUUAGGCUAACAUUUUUAAAAAGGGUUCCUUCCUUAAAUUAUUCAAGAAUCAAUGGGUAUAUAUCAUUUUUUGACUUUAUUUUAUAAGUCAAAAAAUGUAUGCUGCAGUUCCUCCACAACCCAUACCUCAUUCACCAAGUUCUCUCUUUUCUGUUGUCGUCCGACUGUGUGUGUGUUGGUGGGUUUGAGGAUGUGGGUGUUCUUAUCUCCUCUCCUCUCUGUUUAGGGACUAUUGAGCAACUCUCUCCCCAGAUGAUUGUAUAUCAAAACUCCCACCGUGUGUUGUGUACAAACACUUACAAGUAGACUUGUUAGGGAAUACUCACAUACACACACACUUUCUUUCUGCUGAGCUAUGGGGUUUUACACCUUGAGGAGUUCACACAGCAGCAGACCACAGCAGGUGGUUAUAAAGGCACUCUUGCCUCCAAAGCGUGUGAGAGUAUUCCCUAACAAGUCUAUAUGUAAGUGUUUGUACGUAACACACAGUGGGAGUUUUGAUAUACAAUUAUCUGCAUCCCACAGGGGGGGGGGGUUGCUCAAUAGUCCCUAAACAGAGAGGAGAUAAGUACACCCACAGAUUUAUUUGGCUAUUGAGAGUAGCAUGUUGGAAAGUUUGCGAUGACUGCCCUCUAGUGGUAAAAUCAAGAAUGUACACCGCAAUAUAAUCCAGAAAAUACAGGACAUACAACUAUAUCUGAUGUCAUCUAAACAUUUAUUCUCUUAAUACAGUCUAAAGAAAUCAUUAGGAAAUCAAAUGACAUAUGCACAGAGUGAUACAGACAUUUGUGGCCCUAUGGCCGUUCCCACAAUCAGAGGAGGGACAAGUAUGUAGUAGUCAUGCGUCUCACACAGAAUGUAUUUUCUCCAUUUCAGAUCAGAACAGAAAAGUAAAAGGUUAUUAACUUCAGUUAGACUGUAGACAGAGACUGAGGAAAUGAAAGGAGACUGAUACCCACAGCCACAGGCACCCAUACAGUACUGUUCAUCCCAAUGGCAUACCUCCGGUUCUUUAAUCAUCUCAAAAAAUAUAUAUCUGUGACAAAUUUCUAUCCAUCUGAAUGACAUGACUUCAACGAGUGAUUAGAUUCUACAGUAGAACAUCUCAGACCUCAAUCAAAUUCAUGAUUCGAUGAACAACCAUGAUCAGCUUUUGUAAAUACACUAAACAAAAAUAGAAAUGCAGCACGCAACAAUUUCUAUGAUUUUACAGAGUUACAGUUCAUAUAAGGAAAUCAGUCAAUUGAAAUAAAGUAUUUAGGCCCUAAUCUAUUUAUUUUACAUGACCGAGAAUACAGAUACCUAAAAAAGUAGCGGAGUGGAUCAGAAAACCAGUGUGACCAUUAUUUGCCUCGUGCAGCGUGACACAUCUCCUUUGCAUAGAGUUGAUCAGGCUGUUGAUUGUGGCCUGUGAAAUGUUGUCCCACUCCUCUUCAAUGGCUGUGCAAAGUUGCUGGAUAUUGGCGAGAACUGGAACACACUGUGGUGCACGUCAAUCCAGAGCAUCCCAAACAUGGUCAACGGGUGACAUGUCUGGUGAGUAUGCAGGUCAUGUAAGAACUGGGACAUUUCCAACUUCCAGGAAUUGUGUACAGAUCGUUGCGUCAUGGAGCUGUUCAUUAUCAUGCUGAAACAUGAGGUGAUGGCAGCGGAUGAAUGGCACGACAAUGGGCCUCAGGAUCUCGUCACGGUAUCUCUGUGCAUUCAAAUUGCCAUAGAUAAAAUGCACUUGUUUCCGUUGUCCGUAGCUUAUGCCUGCCCAUACUAUAACACCGCCGCCACCUGCCCAUACCAUAAUCCCACCGCCAUACCAUAACCCUCCAACAUUGACAUCAGCAAACCACACGCCAAAUUCUCUAAAACAAUGUUGGAGGCGGCUUAUGGUUGAGAAAUUAAACAUCGAAUUCUCUGGAAACAGCUCUGGUGGUCAUUCCUGCAGUCCGCAUGCCAAUUGCACGCUCCCUCAAAACUUGAGACAUCACAUUGCGUUGUGUGACAACACUGCACAUUUUAGUGUGGCCUUUUAUUGUCCCUAGCACAAGGUGCACCUGUGUAAUGACCAUGCUGUUUAAUCAUCUUCUUGAUAUGCCACACCUGCCAGGUGGAUGGAUUAUCUUGCCAAAAGAGAAAUGCUCACUAACAGGGAUGUAAAACAAAUUUCUGCACCAAAUUAGAGAGAUAUGAUUUUUUUAUGUGAAUGGAACAUUUCCGGGAUCUUUCAUUUCAACUCAUGAAACAUGGGACCAACACUUUACAUUUUGCAUUUAUAUUUUUGUUCAGUGUAUAACGACAAAGGACUGAAAUAUCAAAGUCUUUGGUAUGGACCUCUUUUUAUCCUAUUUGGCUUGAUAAAGGAUCCUGUAAAAUGGCUUAGCUUUAUUACCAUGAAUGCACUUGAUAUCAGACAGGUUGUCAGAUCCAUUAGGCCAACCUUUGACCUUUUUGACACUUGUCACAUACAGAAUAAUCUUGGAAACCCAGAAUUACAAUCUUGCAUAAUUGAGUUAGAUACUCAAUUCUUUUCUGGGGGAAGAUGUGUUUGAAAAGAGACUCGAGCAAGCAGCGGAGGCAGGGCAGUAGCUCCACCCGCCUUUGCAAGUUACAGGCAAGUCUAUGGGCCAAAUGUCCCUUCCCCUUCCGAAAUUCGAAAGAUGCGAAAUCGUGAUUUGUCCAAAAUUAUCAGUGAUGAAAAAUCACUGAUCAAGUUCCUUGAUAGUCGUCGCAUCCCACAGUCUGUUGACAGACACUACAAUACCAGCUAUAUUACGUGCAUCUGUCCAUGAGAGAUUACACACAGAACAGUGGGGAUUUAGAGAUAAUUGAUUAGAGAUAAUUUUGAUAGAGGUGACAGUUAGAGGUGAUUCGACAAUCACAGUGAGUAUUGUGUAGGCUAUAAGGAACUGUCCAUCGAAGCACAAUGUCAAACUGGGCCACACAACUUCCCACAUUUAGGCUGAUGCUCUACUGUAGCCUUCCAUUUCAAAUUACUUUGGGCAGCGAGCGGUUAUGAACGUUUGUGUCACAAGCAGGCAGUGUUUGACGAUGUCAUUAGCUCUGGCCACUAUAAUCUCUCUGCAGGUAAGCAUUCUUUGAUUGGCAGCCACAGUGGCCCAUCAUCUUGUUCUCUCACUGAUUGACAGUCACAGCGGCCCAUCUUGUUCUCUCUCUGAUUGGCAGGCACAGUGGCCUAUCAUCUGCUCCUCUCUCAGGAGAAGAUUGGGGAGGGGCGGGGCUUACAUGUCUGUCUGGAACAGGAACUUCCUCUAGUAACGCCACAGGAGCCAGACCUCGUCUGCCAUUCACCUGAAACACAUAGUCACUCAGUAAGCUAUCUACAGUACAGCUGCACUCAUCUGUUUAGAUAGCAGUCUGCCAGAUAGUAGUCUGUAAGAUAGUCGUCUGUUAGGAUAGCAGUCUGUUAGGAUAGCAGUCUGUUAGGAUAGCAGUCUGUUAGGAUAGCAGUCUGUUAGGAUAGCAGUCUGUUAGGAUAGCAGUCUGUUAGGAUAGCAGUCUGUUAGGAUAGCAGGCUGUUAGGAUAGCAGUCUGUUAGGAUAGCAGUCUGUUAGGAUAGCAGUCUGUUAGGAUAGCAGUCUGUUAGGAUAGCAGUCUGUUAGGAUAGCAGGCUGUUAGUAUAGCAGGCUGUUAGGAUAGCAGGCUGUUAGGAUAGCAGGCUGUUAGGAUAGCAGGCUGUUAGGAUAGCAGGCUGUUAGGAUAGCAGGCUGAUAGGAUAGCAGUCGGUUUGGAUAGCAGUCGGUUUGGAUAGCAGUCUGGUUAGAUAGCAGUCUGGUUAGAUAGCAGGCUGUUAGGAUAGCAGGCUGUUAGGAUAGCAGUCGGUUUGGAUAGCAGUCGGUUUGGAUAGCAGUCGGUUUGGAUAGCAGUCUGGUUAGAUAGCAGUCUGGUUAGAUAGCAGUCGGUUUGGAUAGCAGUCGGGUUAGAUAGCAGUCGGGUUAGAUAGCAGUCGGUUAGAUAGCAGUCGGUUAGAUAGCAGUCUGUUAGAUAGCAGUCUGUUAGAUAGCAGUCGGUUAGAUAGCAGUCGGUUAGAUAGCAGUCGGUUAGAUAGCAGUCUGUUAGAUAGCAGUCUGUUUAGAAAGUCUGUUAGAUAGCAGUCUGUUAGAUAGCAGUCGGGUUAGAUAGCAGUCGGGUUAGAUAGCAGUCGGGUUAGAUAGCAGUCGGUUAGAUAGCAGUCGGUUAGAUAGCAGUCGGUUAGAUAGCAAUCUGUUAGAUAGCAGUCUGUUUAGAAAGUCUGUUAGAUAGCAGUCGGUUAGAUAGCAGUCUGUUUAGAAAGUCUGUUAGAUAGCAGUCUGUUUAGAAAGUCUGUUAGAUAGAAGUCUGUUAGAUAGCACUGUUAGAUAGCAGUCUGUUAGAUAGCAGUCUGUUAGAUAGCAGUCUGUUUAGAAAGUCUGUUAGAUAGCAGUCUGUUAGAUAGCA